Molecule: ribosomal RNA, 650 nt
Filed under: Thryssa hamiltonii (Hamilton's thryssa)
Lineage: Eukaryota; Metazoa; Chordata; Actinopteri; Clupeiformes; Engraulidae
Description: partial 12S ribosomal RNA
Rfam family: Bacterial small subunit ribosomal RNA
Source: RNAcentral
CGGCGUAAAGAGUGGUUAUGGAACUAACAAACUAAAGCCGAAAGCCCCUUAAACUGUCAUACGCACCCAGAGGCCGGAACCCCACCAUACGAAAGUAGCUUUACCAAAGUCCACCAGAAUCCACGACAGCUGGGACACAAACUGGGAUUAGAUACCCCACUAUGCCCAGCCAUAAACCUAGAUGCUUCCAUACAAUUAGCAUCCGCCAGGGAACUACGAGCACUAGCUUAAAACCCAAAGGACUUGGCGGUGCUUCAGACCCCCCUAGAGGAGCCUGUUCUAGAACCGAUAAUCCCCGUUCAACCUCACCACUUCUUGCCCUUUCCGCCUAUAUACCACCGUCGCCAGCUUACCCUGUGAAGGAGAAAAAGUAAGCGAAAUGGAGACCCUCCAAAACGUCAGGUCGAGGUGUAGCAUACGAAGUGGGAAGAAAUGGGCUACAUUGCCUGACACAGGCUAUUUACGGAAAGUCACCUGAAAUAGUCACUCGAAGGUGGAUUUAGCAGUAAAAGGGGAGUAGAGCACCCUUUUGAAGCCGGCUCUGAAGCGCGCACACACCGCCCGUCACUCUCCCCAACAAGCCACUACACAAAGUAAAUAACACCACAGAACAAAAAAGGGGAGGCAAGUCGUAACAUGGUAAGUGUACC